Non-coding RNA from Chelonoidis abingdonii (Abingdon island giant tortoise), 2231 nucleotides. Lineage: Eukaryota; Metazoa; Chordata; Testudines; Testudinidae. The record is from RefSeq and is a predicted model, not a curated record.
UAGCUCAUGUUAAAUACGUUCACUUUUCAGUUUUCCUUUCUUCUAAAAUGGAGUUUGACAGAUUGGGCAUUUCAGCUCCCCCUUUUUUUCACCACCUCUACUUUCUACCUCAGAAAUACUCUUCAGGAAGCAGGAGUUAAUCUUGGUGAGGAAACGAUAAGGCUCAACUCUGCCUCCUGUACCUGUGUGUAGCAGUGCCUUUCUCUUUGAAUAGCCCAAUUAAUUUCAAUGGGGCUACUCACAGAGGAGAGCACUGCUCAGUAUGAGUAAGGGUGGAAGAAUUGGGCCCUGACUCUGCAGAUUUUUCCAUGCAGGUGGAUUCCUCACCCAUGUUUAGUGCUCUGGUGACUUCAUUGGGUCGCUGUGCUGAACAGCUUGCAGGAUAAGGCCUAAUACUGUCUUUAAAGAAGGACAAUAGAAGGAGAAAUAUCCUUCAAAUGAUGGAGAGGAUAUGGGUUCAUCAAGAGUGUCAGGCACUUGGUGGGCAGUUCAUACUCCUCUGACAAACUACAAUUUGGUGGGAAACUUCACAAGACUCCACGGUAUCAGUAAGCCCUCAUCUGUAAAUUCAUGGAGUGCCCUGCAUUUGAUUAACUUCUGCUGUCCUUCACAUCUUCUACACAAAAGAUUCUCAUUUAAUGAAAACCAUGUCGCUAGUUCCUUUAGUGCGAUCCAGAGUUGCUCCUGGGUCACCUAGAACUGUAGCUUCUGCUGAUGUGAAGACUUUCUGCUCACAGAUAACACGACAUGAGGCCCCUACUUACUCCAGAGCCUGAUUGGCAUGGAUCUCCCAGCACACAGAAAGGCAAAGCUGUCCGAAAAUAGAAAAAGAGGAAGAUACUGCAAAAUCUACCAAACAAAUAUGAAGAAACUGUUUUUGAAAGUAAUUUAGGGAGAUGAAGAGCACACUUAGAAAACAUGGGCAGGACACACAUACAGCAGUAAAUUCAGAUCCACCUGAAUGGGCUUUGAGCAGGAGUUUGGCAUUCUCAACCUGGGAUUCAGGUGUUGGCCUGAGAUUGGUGGCAUGUUACUGUACACCUCUGACAAGGUUAGCAGGAUGUUCCAGGUAUGUUUAUGCUACACAGCAUUGCUAUUGCCUCAGGGGAAGACAUACAUGAAAUAAGGAGCCCUGAAAAGAAGAGGACAUAGGAGCUGUGAGGCUCAGGAGGACAUAAGCAUGCUGGACCAGGAAGAUGAUGAGGGAGCAAGGACAUCAGCUAGUGUUCCCUGAGCCCCCUGAUUCUCAGAGACAGUUUGAUAGUCAAGAUUUUCCUUAGUUUGACAACAAAAUUUUUAUGCUUACAGGAGAAGUGAGAUUUUAAAAGGGCCUUCUUCUGACACCCAACACUAUGAAGGACACAGGCCUGCAGGUCAACAUCCCAAGAAGAUGUCGGUGCAACUAAGAAGGAAGAUCAAGAACCUGGAAGAUAGAGAGAGAAAGGUUCUCUGGAAGGGAAAACUGGAAAUGAAGCAGAUUAAGAGCUUCACCUGUCACAGAAGAAUUACACUUGCAAUAAGGCAGAUGUCAAAAAGACAUUAUUAGCUUGGAAGACUUCAAAACAGGUGUUGGGAAGAAGGAGAGAAUCUUGUUCAUAACCUAAACUGAAAAUAUUCAACAUAAACAGCAACUUACUUGCAUCAAGACUAUAUCAAGGCUUGACAAAUUCACCUGUCUGGUGCCUCAUGCAACUGAUUUAUCUGCCUGGACAGGUGGAAAACUGCCUAGACUUAUCCGUGAGUAAAGUGGAGUUGUUAGUGCAGUACCGUUGAGGUACUGCUUUCUCUCACUACAACAGUUGGAGUAAGCAUGUUACAGUGCUACAAAUUAGCAGACAGUUUAAAACAGUUCCCAAGCAUUGAAAUUAGAAGUGCUUAAUGCAGAAUUCAUAUUUUCUAGCUCAGUCACAAUGGGACUCUGGUGAAUUUAAUUUUUAUUGCUUUCAUGUUGUAACAGUCAUUUGUCUUUUGGAGGCAAUCAUGGGAGCAGCAUUACAGCAGGACAUAUGAAGAUUCUUGUUUGCUUCUUGUAAUCCUGACGAUAUUAAUUCUUUACUACAAGCAAAUGCCACCUGGAAAAUAAAAUUCUGUUCUUCCACUUGUACUCAUGGUGCACAACACUCCCACUGAAAUAAAUGGAUCUCUCGAUAGAGUAACGUUCUAGUCAAUGUGAUAAGGGUAGCAGAAUCCGCUCCACAGCCAUUUGGAUUCUAGAGAAAAAAAAAUUCUAU